UGUGACGUAUAGUGUUUUUGUCUAAAGCUACAUUGACUGCGGAUAGCUGGCUAGCUAGAUACAGUUGUUGCAGCAUUCUUGAAAUUAAUAUUUUGUUUCCGCUAGCUUAAGUUAGUAAUUAGAAAAACGAAUGAGCAAUAGCCCACACUAUUGCAGCAAGUCACACGCUACCAUGGAUCACAUUUGGCAUCCUCCAAUGUGACUAGGACGUCUGGACUAGUCUUGUGCCAUUGGAGUUAGCUAGCAAACAAGCUCGCUAGUUGGUCUGCUUGCUAAUGCUAUCUAGCUAGGUGAUAUUGCAGCACGUUGAGAUUCUUGAAACUUGAGGAACUCUUUAAGUACAGUACAAUGGCUCCCAAAGACAUCAUGACCAACUCCCAUGCCAAAUCCAUCCUCAAUGCCAUGAACGCACUUCGUAAGAGCAACACACUCUGUGAUAUCACUUUGAGAGUGGAGAAUACCGACUUUCCUGUACACCGUAUUGUCCUGGCAGCCUGCAGUGACUACUUCUGCGCCAUGUUCACCAGCGAGCUCUCUAAGAAUCCCCAGUUGUCAGAGAAAGGGAAAUCCUUUGUAGACAUCCAGGGGUUGACUGCGUCCACCAUGGAGAUCCUGCUGGACUUUGUUUACACAGAGACUGUUUUGGUCACAGUGGAGAAUGUCCAGGAACUGCUUCCUGCUGCCUGUCUGCUGCAGCUCAAAGGAGUAAAAAGAGCUUGUUGUGACUUUCUGGAUAGUCAGCUUGAUCCCACAAACUGCCUGGGCAUUCGUGACUUUGCGGAGACCCACAAUUGCCUUGACCUGAUGCAGGCCGCUGAACUCUUCUCCCAGAAGCACUUCCCUGAGGUGGUUCAACAUGAGGAGUUUAUGCUGCUCAGCCAGAACGAGGUUGAAAAACUAGUUAAAUGUGAUGAAAUCCAGGUGGACUCAGAGGAGCCUGUAUUCGAGGCAGUGUUGAAUUGGGUUAAACACAAUAGGAAAGAGAGGGAGAUUUAUUUAUCGGAGAUGCUGGAGCAUGUGCGGAUGCCUUUGCUCACUCCGCGCUAUAUCACAGACGUCAUUGACUCAGAGCCCCUUAUUCGAUGCAGUCUUCCCUGCCGAGACCUUGUGGAUGAGGCCAAGAAAUUCCACCUUAGACCAGAGCUGAGGAGUGAGAUGCAGGGGCCACGCACCCAAGCCAGAUUAGGUGCCAAGGAGGUCCUGUUGGUUAUUGGAGGAUUUGGCAGUCAACAAUCCCCUAUAGAUAUCGUUGAGAAGUAUGAUCCUAAAACUCAGGAGUGGAGCUUUUUACCUAACAUUGCUCGGAAAAGGCGUUAUGUAGCUACCGUGUCCCUCAAUGACCGUGUGUAUGUGAUUGGCGGCUACGAUGGUCGAUCGCGGCUUAGCUCGGUGGAGUGCUUGGACUACACGGCAGACGAGGAUGGUGUCUGGUACACCGUCGCCACUAUGAAUGUACGGCGUGGCCUUGCCGGGGCGACAACACUCGGAGAUAUGAUCUAUGUUGCUGGAGGCUUUGACGGUAGCCGCCGUCACACCAGCAUGGAACGAUAUGACCCCAAUAUUGACCAGUGGAGCAUGCUUGGGGACAUGCAGACAGCCAGGGAAGGGGCUGGCCUGGUGGUUGCUAGUGGACUUAUAUACUGUCUUGGUGGGUAUGAUGGAUUGAAUAUCCUCAAUUCAGUGGAGCGGUAUGACCCUCACACAGGUCAUUGGACAAAUGUUACCCCCAUGGCCACCAAACGCUCAGGGGCCGGUGUAGCCUUGCUCAAUGACCACAUCUAUGUGGUGGGAGGCUUCGAUGGAACAGCGCACCUCGACUCGGUGGAGGUUUACAACAUUAGGACUGACUAUUGGACCACGGUAGCCAGCAUGACCACUCCCCGCUGCUACGUAGGAGCUACCGUCCUCCGGGGACGACUCUACGCCAUAGCUGGACAGAUGAGAAACAAUGAGGGAGACAGGUGAAGAGGAGAUUCAGAGUGAAGGGAGGACACAGGGAUUGAACCCCUGUCUCCGGCUAAGCGUUGUACAUGUGCAUAGACCCGGGAGUGUUAUCACUCGACCACGGCUCUGCAACCGACUUCAGUAUUAAGAGAUACUGAAGGGAUCAUUAAUAUACAUUAUGUAUGAUGGAAACUCCCUUCUGAGCAGUAUCGAGUGUUAUGACCCUGUUAUUGAUAGCUGGGAGGUGGUCACCUCAAUGGCCACACAGCGCUGUGAUGCAGGAGUGUGUGUCCUCCGAGAGAAGUGAGAUUUACCUCAGAACAACCUCAAAGGUUGGGUGAAGCAGAGGAGGGCAGUCAUCUAGUCCUGAAUCUGAUAUUUACGCGCCACUACUAUGGAGCAACAGAGGGAUUAUUCACUUGGAGGCCAGUGUGCUAUAUGUCCUCCCGGAAGUCUCUUGAUUCUAUUCAUCAGACUUUCUCAUCUGAGCUUAGUUACUUCUGUGUGAUAAGGGACAGGGGGUGUACAACAGUGAUUAGAGUUGUUUCAGUCUCUUCAUCAACAGUUGUUGCUUCCAAGAAGACAUCCAUCCCAACCCACUCGGUCGCAUGACACACUUUGUGGUAGCUGUUGCCGUGGUUACCAGUGAGAUUUGACUCAUCUUUUAAAGUGCAAUAUAUUUCUCUACUUAUCUUAUGAACCAUUGGAGCAGAAGAAACAAAAGACUCCAGUUUUCUGCUGCUAUAUGCCUUAUGCCCUUGUGGCCCACAUUGAACUGAACAUCCAUGAUGCCUCAUUAGGACUGUGAUUGUUGUCAUGCCAUCAAGUAUGAUGAUUAUUUAGCAUUUGCCAGGUUUUCAGUCAGACAGUAAACCCUUUGUAGAUUUUGUAAUUCUGUAUAAAGCGCUUUUAGAAACAAAUCACUUAUUGAAGAAUUGUCAUUUACCUGACAGUCAUUAUUUUCAAUGUAUCAAAGAUAUUCAAAUGAAUGACAUUUUAGGGAAAGCACCAUAAUUGUAUUGUGGACUGCAGAUGGUUCCUUGCUCUUUUGCUGUUUCUGUCAUCUUGUCAAAAUCUCUGUCCCCUGCAAUUGACUCUGCUAAAGAUGUGCGUAUGGUGCAUGCAUUUGUCCAUAGUGGAUUUGUUUGGACAAGCAAAAUGACUUGACUUCUAUUAUUCGGGGCAAGUACAAAAUCCUGAGGAGUCUUUUGUUGUUACUUGAAAAAGUGAAUAAACAUUGUGAUAAUGUAUGA
Oncorhynchus kisutch (coho salmon) is the source of this 3197-nucleotide RNA transcript. It is a transcript of the gene named kelch-like protein 12, with no coding region annotated. Lineage: Eukaryota; Metazoa; Chordata; Actinopteri; Salmoniformes; Salmonidae. The transcript is spliced from 14 exons. The record is from RefSeq and is a predicted model, not a curated record.